Molecule: ribosomal RNA, 497 nt
Filed under: uncultured bacterium
Lineage: Bacteria
Description: partial 16S ribosomal RNA
Rfam family: Bacterial small subunit ribosomal RNA
Source: RNAcentral
GAUGAACGCUGGCGGCGUGCCUAAUACAUGCAAGUCGAGCGAACAGACGAGGAGCUUUCUCCUCUGACGUUAGCGGCGGACGGGUGAGUAACACGUGGAUAACCUACCUAUAAGACUGGGAUAACUUCGGGAAACCGGAGCUAAUACCGGAUAAUAUAUUGAACCGCAUUGUUCAAUAGUGAAAGACGGUUUUGCUGUCACUUAUAGAUGGAUCCGCGCCGCAUUAGCUAGUUGGUAAGGUAACGGCUUACCAAGGCAACGAUGCGUAGCCGACCUGAGAGGGUGAUCGGCCACACUGGAACUGAGACACGGUCCAGACUCCUACGGGAGGCAGCAGUAGGGAAUCUUCCGCAAUGGGCGAAAGCUUGACGGAGCAACGCCGCGUGAGUGAUGAAGGUCUUCGGAUCGUAAAACUCUGUUAUUAGGGAAGAACAAAUGUGUAAGUAACUAUGCACGUCUUGACGGUACCUAAUCAGAAAGCCACGGCUAACUACGUG